UAUCACUUAAAGCGAUUCAGCGGGUUACGAUUGACGGAGCGAAGCGACGUCAAAGCGUUCAUUAAAGUCGAGUUGGCUUAGGGAUACGUUCGUUGGGUAGGGGAGCGUUCUGUAAGCCUGUGAAGGUGGCCUGUGAGGGUUGCUGGAGGUAUCAGAAGUGCGAAUGCUGACAUAAGUAACGAUAAAGCGGGUGAAAAGCCCGCUCGCCGGAAGACCAAGGGUUCCUGUCCAACGUUAAUCGGGGCAGG
This 248-nucleotide ribosomal RNA is filed under the name Salmonella enterica subsp. enterica serovar London. Its description in RNAcentral is "partial 23S ribosomal RNA". It matches the Rfam family "Bacterial large subunit ribosomal RNA", at positions 1157 to 1378 of the family's 2925-position model. Lineage: Bacteria; Pseudomonadati; Pseudomonadota; Gammaproteobacteria; Enterobacterales; Enterobacteriaceae. The record is from RNAcentral.